This 205-nucleotide microRNA precursor is filed under the name Oryza glumipatula. RNAcentral's name for it is "MIR812 microRNA precursor family". It matches the Rfam family "MIR812 microRNA precursor family". The record is from Rfam by way of RNAcentral. Lineage: Eukaryota; Viridiplantae; Streptophyta; Magnoliopsida; Poales; Poaceae.
UUUAAACACAUUUGUGGAUUUUCGUGUCCAACAUUUUAUCAUCGUUUUAUUUAAUUUUUUUUUAUGAUUAGUAUUUUUGUUAUUAUUAGAUGAAACUUGAAUAGUAGCUUUAUGCAUGACUUUUGUUAUAUAUUUUUAUAAAUUUCUUAAAUAAGACAUACGGUUAAACGUUGUAUUUACGUGGAAUUUCGCGACUGCCUUUUCA